GCUGAUUGGUGUAAGGGUACAGAUGGGGGAUGUAUAGUCUAUAAAACACCUGUACACCAUGUGAUCAUGGCUCAGACCUUGGACACUAAUCGACUGAGACCCGAUCAGUGAAAAAAAAAGAUCUUUGCUUCCUGAACUGACCUGCGUCCAGACUCUCUGUGUGUGGUAUCUUCAGUGUUCCCCUAUAAUAAAAUGAAUAUCCAAAGGAUUUCUGAGCAAUAAAGCGACACAUGAAUUCAAAGUAGAGUUGUGAUUCAGGGGUUAAAGAGACAUAAGUGCCG
Molecule: non-coding RNA, 281 nt
Organism: Pelobates cultripes (western spadefoot toad)
Lineage: Eukaryota; Metazoa; Chordata; Amphibia; Anura; Pelobatidae
Source: the annotation of a GenBank genome assembly